Non-coding RNA from Schistosoma haematobium, 45 nucleotides. The record is from Rfam. Lineage: Eukaryota; Metazoa; Platyhelminthes; Trematoda; Strigeidida; Schistosomatidae.
AUUCAUCCGAUGAGUCCCAAAUAGGAUGAAGCACGUGUCUCGGAU